GCCACGUACGGAUGAUCGUUCCUCGUCGGCCGUGUGUUUGAAAUGGUCGGUGGGACUUUCGUCCGUUUGUGUC
Molecule: microRNA precursor, 73 nt
Filed under: Zootermopsis nevadensis
Lineage: Eukaryota; Metazoa; Arthropoda; Insecta; Blattodea; Termopsidae
Description: mir-278 microRNA precursor family
Rfam family: mir-278 microRNA precursor family
Source: Rfam by way of RNAcentral